RNAcentral lists this non-coding RNA (29 nucleotides) under Homo sapiens (human). Lineage: Eukaryota; Metazoa; Chordata; Mammalia; Primates; Hominidae. The record is from RNAcentral.
UCCAAAUGCGGAAGCCACUUGUGUAGGUC